This is a long non-coding RNA of Amblyraja radiata (thorny skate), 543 nucleotides long. RefSeq lists it as uncharacterized. The transcript has 3 exons. The record is from RefSeq and is a predicted model, not a curated record. Lineage: Eukaryota; Metazoa; Chordata; Chondrichthyes; Rajiformes; Rajidae.
GAGAGAGGUUGGGGGAAUAAGCCGCAGUGGCGGGGCGGAGAGUGGUGCCCGCCAGUGGAGGAAGGCUGGCCGUGAGGAGACCGAGCUGGCCCUACCUACCUACCUACCGUUUGCCAUCAGGAACACAGGCCGAGCACCAAAGCCUGGCCAGCGAAUCAAACCACCGGCCUCACACCAGUUCCUCCCGCUUCUUCCUCCACAGGGCGGGACUGGAGGGAGGAGCUGGGGGUUGUUCCACCCAGAGUCGAAACGAUAUGGAUGCUACCAGUCAGUUCCUCAGCUUGGGGACUUGUUUGACCAUCACAACAACCAUUUAAGAGUUAACCACUUUGCUGAAGGUCUGGAUUCAUACAUAGCCUAGGCUGAUUCUGAGGAAGCUGAUGAGGCCAGUAUGUGAUCCACAGAUUCUUCCACGAAUGCCUGAUGAGCAUGAGGCUGGUUAAUUCGUGAUCACCAGUGGUGGAGCUCCAUCCAGCGCGGCCUGCCGGCUUCGGAAGCCGCGGGUCUCCAGUAAGGAAGCGGCCGUUCCAGGUUUCCCAUGCC